RNAcentral lists this ribosomal RNA (201 nucleotides) under uncultured bacterium. RNAcentral's name for it is "partial 16S ribosomal RNA". It matches the Rfam family "Bacterial small subunit ribosomal RNA", at positions 328 to 539 of the family's 1533-position model. The record is from RNAcentral.
ACGCUCGACACCUACGNGAGGCAGCAGUCGGGAAUAUUGCGCAAUGGAGGAAACUCUGACGCAGUGACGCCGCGUGCAGGAAGAAGGUUUUCGGAUUGUAAACUGCUUUAGACAGGGAAGAAAGAAAUGACAGUACCUGUAGAAUAAGCUCCGGCUAACUACGUGCCAACAGCCGCGGUAAUCUGAGCGGGCUGGCAAGGC